This 76-nucleotide transfer RNA is filed under the name Cavernulicola chilensis. RNAcentral describes it as "tRNA-Met". It matches the Rfam family "tRNA". From Rfam's summary of the family: Transfer RNA (tRNA) molecules are approximately 80 nucleotides in length. The record is from RNAcentral. Lineage: Eukaryota; Rhodophyta; Bangiophyceae; Cavernulicolales; Cavernulicolaceae.
CCGCGGGGUGGAGUAGUGGAUAACUCAUCAGCCUCAUGAUCUGAAGAUCGCAGGUUCAAAUCCUGCCCCCGCACAU